This 759-nucleotide ribosomal RNA is filed under the name uncultured Stenotrophomonas sp. RNAcentral describes it as "bacterial SSU rRNA". It matches the Rfam family "Bacterial small subunit ribosomal RNA", at positions 28 to 776 of the family's 1533-position model. The record is from RNAcentral. Lineage: Bacteria; Pseudomonadati; Pseudomonadota; Gammaproteobacteria; Lysobacterales; Lysobacteraceae.
AGUGAACGCUGGCGGUAGGCCUAACACACGCAAGUCGAACGGCAGCACAGAGGAGCUUGCUCCUUGGGUGGCGAGUGGCGGACGGGUGAAGAAUACAUCGGAAUCUACUCUGUCAUGGGGGAUAACGUAGGGAAACUUACGCUAAUACCGCAUACGACCUACGGGUGAAAGCAGGGGAUCUUCGGACCUUGCGCGAUUGAAUGAGCCGAUGUCGGAUUAGCUAGUUGGCGGGGUAAAGGCCCACCAAGGCGACGAUCCGUAGCUGGUCUGAGAGGAUGAUCAGCCACACUGGAACUGAGACACGGUCCAGACUCCUACGGGAGGCAGCAGUGGGGAAUAUUGGACAAUGGGCGCAAGCCUGAUCCAGCCAUACCGCGUGGGUGAAGAAGGCCUUCGGGUUGUAAAGCCCUUUUGUUGGGAAAGAAAUCCAGCCGGCUAAUACCUGGUUGGGAUGACGGUACCCAAAGAAUAAGCACCGGCUAACUUCGUGCCAGCAGCCGCGGUAAUACGAAGGGUGCAAGCGUUACUCGGAAUUACUGGGCGUAAAGCGUGCGUAGGUGGUUAUUUAAGUCCGUUGUGAAAGCCCUGGGCUCAACCUGGGAACUGCAGUGGAUACUGGAUGACUAGAAUGUGGUAGAGGGUAGCGGAAUUCCUGGUGUAGCAGUGAAAUGCGUAGAGAUCAGGAGGAACAUCCAUGGCGAAGGCAGCUACCUGGACCAACAUUGACACUGAGGCACGAAAGCGUGGGGAGCAAACAGG